GAACUUCACAACACGACAAGUGGAAUUUUUCUUUUUUAAAAAAAAACUCUCUUUUACAAACUCUUUCAGACCCCACCUGUGUCGCGGCCACUGUAAUUUCUCCCCUGGUGUUCUUCUUGAACACAGUUUUUAUCAUUGCCAUGCUCUCCAACAAAUUUCCCUCAUUAAGCCACCUUUACGAGCACCUCAACCUCAGUGGCGGAGUCAGAAUUUUCAGUAAGGGAUUUAAAAAUAUGAAGAGGUAAACAUAUAUACAUAAAAAAAAAAAAUUUUAACCUUCAAUAUACACUGUAAUUUUCUGCCGAGGGAAUUCGAAACCCCUCGGUUACACUUGGCUCCGCCCCUGAUCAACCCCCACCCCCACCCCCCUCUUUUCUCUCUCCCGGAAAAAAAAACAAUCACUCAAGCUUCCAUUUCAUUCUCUAAGAUAUUAUUCACAUUUACCAUGAAUUCACCAUAGCCUCUCUACUACACCACUGCUCCUUUCACAGCAAAAGCCACCCACAUAGCACACCUUUCACUGUUAAUUCACAAUCUUCUCCAUUUCACGGUCACCGAAAAUUAUGCCAUCACCGUACUCUCGUUAACCAUAGUCCUCACCGAUCAUGAACCCACUAUCCAAACGACCGCCAUUUCGGCCCUCUUCUCUGCAUAACAUCAAUAAUUAAAUAGCUCCCAACACCCACUUGUAUUUUACUCUGUUUUGAUGAAAUACACCUACUUGUCGUAACUCGAAUUUGCUCUAAUUUGAGUCUUUUCAGUAGUUUGUUUGGUACGAAGAUCUUGAGUUUAUGUUUCUUCUAAUUUGAGUCUUGUUCAAUAGUUUGUGAUGACAGUACCACCGGCCGGAUGAUUUUGGCGGUGGUGAUAGGAAUGGUGGUAGGAGAGAAAGUGAAGAAGUGAGAAAAAAAUAUUUUUUUUGAAAAUCUUUUCACUGUUUCACGCACUUAAAACGAGUCUACAUGUAAGCAAUGUGUGUCUAAUUGAUAUACUUUACUUUCACUUUAGGUGUUCAAUAGGAACGAAGGUUAGUUCUAAGUGUUUAAAUGGAAAAAUCCGUCCAGUGUAAGGGGCCACGCAUGUAUUAAGCCAAAAAAAAAAAACCUACAUGGCAUACAACAAAGAUUUUUAGAAGAGUGAUACAACAUUGACUUAGCGGCGUUAUAAGGGUAGAGAACCAGCUUGGAUUGCCUGGUAGAUUAAUCAAAGAUGUUAUAUUUUUGCAAAGUAGGUUGACGGAAAUCACUAGGGAAAGGAAGAAGGAUCUCUAUGUGAUAUUCACGGAAUUUGAAAAGGUAUAUGAUAGAGUUCUAAGAGAAGUAUUUCACUGGGUAAUUGAGAAGAAAUACAUCCAUAUCAAGUAUUAAAACGACCUAAAUGAUUUGUGAGAACUGUUGAGAGUGAUACAACGCAGUUCUCACAACUGUAGGUUACACCAGGAAUAAGUCUUGAAUCUGGACAUGUUUACCUGAACCUGAGCUAAUCAGUAGUAUACACAAUGAUGUUUGAUGAUACAUACUAAUUUUUAUGCUAACUGAAGAAAUUAGCGGAGUAGUCAGUUAAAACAUUGGAAUUAUGAAAAGGUGCUCCACAGAGUAGUAGAGUUUUUAGGAUAAGUAGAAGACAAAACACAUCUUAUCAGCCAUCUGUUUUUUCCUUCUUCUGGAAGCUACAGUGCACAUUAUUUCGAUUGUCAAAAGAAAAUUAUGUCAAGACUAAGAAAAGAGUAAGCACCUGAACUAAAACAUUCCUUCUGCUGAAGGUAAAUUUUGCCCACUUUAAGAUAGAUAAAUACACCAAACAACAAAUCCAAUCGUUUUAUCUAGCUUUUCCAGAAUCAUGCUGCUGUGCUUGCUCCAGAUCAUCCAGCUCGAUUGGGGCUUGCACUUGCCUUAUCUUCACACUACCACACGUCAUUGCAGUUGGACCAUGCCAUUACCACUGCCCGUGAGGCCCUUGAUGCUGUUGUUGAAGUUGAGCUUCCGGCACAGAGCGUACCGGUGUAUGGGUUGCUUCGGGGCAAACAUCAAUUAUGGCAAGAGGAGGAAGAGGGAUAGGUGGCGCAAGAGUGACAGGGUGGCGGCAUGUGAUGACUAGUGUUUUAACAUAGACAAUUUGUCUAAAGUAUAUUACCUAAUUUUGGUGGCAUCUAUAAAUUGGCGCUGGCCUUUUGAUUUCUCGCCUAUCUUGUCUUUAUUAGAAUAUGUGGAACCAGUCUAUUACGGAAUUCUAGCAUGUACGGUAACUUGAACCAAAUGAAUAGGAAAAUAUCUCUUAUUAGAUUCAUAAAAGAGCUACACAAGCCAUAAUUAUACUUACUUCCGAGCCUCCUAUUAGAUUCGUCGAUUGGCGCCAAGGCCGUGCCUUCCAAUUCCUUGCAUCUACGAACACCUUGGAUUAGUGGCUUAGCUCAUUCACAAUCUUGAUUGUCAAUAUGUAUGUAAACAAUGUAGACGGAAGGCUUUUAUUUGCAAAUGGUGUUUACACCAAACUUGGAUCUUUUGUAUGCAUAUUUAUCUCUUAAUCAUGAUUGAAUAAUAUGUAUUCUUCCUUUAAAUUUUAACUAUUAAGAUUAAAUUAUUUAUUGAUGUAAUAAGCUUUUAACAUACGCAUGUUUUAUUGAGAGUGAUCGUCGAAGAACCUUUUCACGGGGGAGAGGGAUAGGCCAGUUUGAAAAUAAAUGGAGAGGCCAUUUAUUCAUAGCACGAAACGAAGAGGUUUCAUGAAUGAAUGUGGUAAAUCAAUCAAUCUUUUCAUUACAUAUCGGGACAAAAACCAACCCAUCUAACUCGAUUUUUCGAAGUAAAGAGAGGGAGAGGGCGCUCUUCCUAUAUUGAGCUCCUAAAAGACACACGAUGCUUGGAAAUCGGAACUAUAGUUUAGAGAAAGGCUUGUUAUACAAUGAUUUUUUUUUUUUGCGUGCAUUGGUCAGUUUUUGGGGUGGUCUUUAAUUUUUGCCCUCCACUUAGAACCUCUUAAUUUCGAGUUUGA
Lycium barbarum (goji berry) is the source of this 2991-nucleotide long non-coding RNA. RefSeq lists it as uncharacterized. The record is from RefSeq and is a predicted model, not a curated record. Lineage: Eukaryota; Viridiplantae; Streptophyta; Magnoliopsida; Solanales; Solanaceae. The transcript has 3 exons.